UCACCUGUCUAUUUAUUUCCCAACUCAUCCCAACUUAUCACGUUAUGAAUCAGUGUUGGUAGAUAAACCUACUCCUCUCACCGGAGUCACAGAUUACAGCAAAGAAAAUGGUCAAACUACUCUCAUAUCUUCUUAUCUUUGUCUUCUUCUCCAUAAUUUUCUCACCUGCUAGAUCUUUCUCGUUUCCUCCACAGCCCCAUGUCCUCAAAUCCUUCAACCCCAAAAUCAUUCAGGCUGCGAAGAGCUGUCCGUACACAGUUACCAUCAAGACAAGCUGCUCCUCUUCAUCUUACACCAGAGACAAAAUCAGUCUCGCAUUUGGUGAUUCCUAUGGCAACGAGGUGUACGUGAAGAGGCUUGAUGAUCCAUCUUCAGGGACGUUUGAAAGUUGUUCCACAGAUACGUUCCAGAUAAAUGGACCAUGCGCAUACGAUAUUUGUUAUCUAUACCUGCUUAGGAGUGGAUCGGACGGCUGGAAACCCGAGAGUGUGAAGAUC
This 497-nucleotide unclassified non-coding RNA is filed under the name Hevea brasiliensis (rubber tree). Lineage: Eukaryota; Viridiplantae; Streptophyta; Magnoliopsida; Malpighiales; Euphorbiaceae. The record is from RNAcentral.